Molecule: unclassified non-coding RNA, 396 nt
Filed under: soil metagenome
Description: partial contains 5.8S ribosomal RNA, internal transcribed spacer 2, and large subunit ribosomal RNA
Rfam family: 5.8S ribosomal RNA (bases 1-122)
Source: RNAcentral
GAUGAAGAACGUAGUGAAAUGCGAUACUUAGUGUGAAUUGCAGAAUCCCGUGAACCAUCGAGUCUUUGAACGCAAGUUGCGCCCGAGGCCUCCUGGUCGAGGGCACGUCUGCCUGGGUGUCACGCAUCGUCGCCCCCGCUCCCCUCGGCUCACGAGGGCGGGGGCGGAUACUGGUCUCCCGCGCGCUCCCGCUCGCGGCUGGCCCAAAAUCGAGUCCCCGGCGACGGUCGCCACGACGAGCGGUGGUUGAGAGACCCUCGGACACUGUCGUGCGCGCGCCCGUCGCCCCCGGGAUCUCCUGGACCCUCGGGCAUCGACCUUUCUAGGAUGCUCUCGUUGCGACCCCAGGUCAGGCGGGACUACCCGCUGAGUUUAAGCAUAUCAAUAAGCGGAGGA